AUUGAACGCUGGCGGCAGGCCUAACACAUGCAAGUCGAACGGUAGCACAGAGAGCUUGCUCUCGGGUGACGAGUGGCGGACGGGUGAGUAAUGUCUGGGAAACUGCCCGAUGGAGGGGGAUAACUACUGGAAACGGUAGCUAAUACCGCAUAAUGUCGCAAGACCAAAGAGGGGGACCUUCGGGCCUCUUGCCAUCGGAUAUGCCCAGAUGGGAUUAGCUAGUUGGUGAGGUAAUGGCUCACCAAGGCGACGAUCCCUAGCUGGUCUGAGAGGAUGACCAGCCACACUGGAACUGAGACACGGUCCAGACUCCUACGGGAGGCAGCAGUGGGGAAUAUUGCACAAUGGGCGCAAGCCUGAUGCAGCCAUGCCGCGUGUAUGAAGAAGGCCUUCGGGUUGUAAAGUACUUUCAGCGGGGAGGAAGGCGAUACGGUUAAUAACCGUAUUGAUUGACGUUACCCGCAGAAGAAGCACCGGCUAACUCCGUG
RNAcentral lists this ribosomal RNA (488 nucleotides) under uncultured bacterium. Its description in RNAcentral is "partial 16S ribosomal RNA". It matches the Rfam family "Bacterial small subunit ribosomal RNA", at positions 30 to 507 of the family's 1533-position model. The record is from RNAcentral.